This 253-nucleotide ribosomal RNA is filed under the name uncultured bacterium. RNAcentral's name for it is "partial 16S ribosomal RNA". It matches the Rfam family "Bacterial small subunit ribosomal RNA", at positions 524 to 776 of the family's 1533-position model. The record is from RNAcentral.
GACAGAGGGCUCGAGCGUUAGGCGGAAUCACUGGGCUUAAAGCGUGUGUAGGCGGUUGUCUAAGUACCUUGUGAAAUCCCACAGCUUAACUGUGGAAUUGCUUGGUAUACUGGAUGUCUUGAGCCAGCUAGGGGCAACCGGAACAAAUGGUGGAGCGGUGAAAUGCGUAGAUAUCAUUUGGAACGCCAAUGGUGAAAACAGGUUGCUGGUGCUGUGCUGACGCUGAGACACGAAAGCCAGGGGAGCGAACGGG